GUGGAAAAGAGCUGUAAAAGCUAUUAACCUCAAGAGUGGAGCGUGAAAUGGUGGAAAUAUAACCACCUAUCCUAAAUGGGAAUAAGUCAGAGUAUUCCAAAGUGGAGUGAGCCUCCACUAGGACAAGCUCAAGUCUAUUCAGCGUAAGUGCCGUCUGGUGGCACUCUCCCCUUUUUGUCAAAUGUUACCUCAAGGGACGAGACAAAUACAAC
Molecule: non-coding RNA, 212 nt
Organism: Pelobates cultripes (western spadefoot toad)
Lineage: Eukaryota; Metazoa; Chordata; Amphibia; Anura; Pelobatidae
Source: the annotation of a GenBank genome assembly